This is a microRNA precursor of Tupaia belangeri (northern tree shrew), 82 nucleotides long. Ensembl annotates it as microRNA 654. Lineage: Eukaryota; Metazoa; Chordata; Mammalia; Scandentia; Tupaiidae. The record is from Ensembl.
GGCUGAGUGGAAAGAUGGUGGUCCUGCAGAACAUGUGCUGAACCUGUGCCAUAUGUCUGCCGACCAUCACCUUUAGGAGCCC